Molecule: long non-coding RNA, 209 nt
Filed under: Lathyrus oleraceus (garden pea)
Lineage: Eukaryota; Viridiplantae; Streptophyta; Magnoliopsida; Fabales; Fabaceae
Description: Pisum sativum (pea) long non-coding RNA (PSAT_LNC004832)
Source: RNAcentral
UGUAUUCACGUCCUAGCAGUAGGUGUCGCAGCUCGCUGAAUCGAGUCUUAGGCAGUUACCUCUUUGCAAUAGAAUGGACUACAUGCCACAAGAUCGGAGACGCUCGGAAAGGUCUAGAAGUGGGGAAGCUCUGCCCUAGAGUUGUCAUGCAAUAUGUACUUAGGUGUUUAGGAUUUACAAAUGGGAAUAUCUACCUAAUGUUAGCAUGC